UGGGGAAUAUUGCACAAUGGGCGCAAGCCUGAUGCAGCCAUGCCGCGUGUAUGAAGAAGGCCUUCGGGUUGUAAAGUACUUUCAGUCGGGAGGAAGGUGGUAAGGUUAAUAACCUUAUCAAUUGACGUUACCGACAGAAGAAGCACCGGCUAACUCCGUGCCAGCAGCCGCGGUAAUACGGAGGGUGCAAGCGUUAAUCGGAAUUACUGGGCGUAAAGCGCACGCAGGCGGUUGAUUGAGUCAGAUGUGAAAUCCCCGGGCUUAACCCGGGAAUUGCAUCUGAGACUGGUCAGCUAGAGUCUUGUAGAGGGGGGUAGAAUUCCAUGUGUAGCGGUGAAAUGCGUAGAGAUGUGGAGGAAUACCGGUGGCGAAGGCGGCCCCCUGGACGAAGACUGACGCUCAGGUGCGAAAGCGUGGGGAGCAAACAGG
Molecule: ribosomal RNA, 429 nt
Filed under: Chloroflexota bacterium
Lineage: Bacteria; Bacillati; Chloroflexota
Description: Chloroflexi bacterium partial 16S ribosomal RNA
Rfam family: Bacterial small subunit ribosomal RNA
Source: RNAcentral